RNAcentral lists this non-coding RNA (21 nucleotides) under Caenorhabditis elegans. The record is from RNAcentral. Lineage: Eukaryota; Metazoa; Nematoda; Chromadorea; Rhabditida; Rhabditidae.
UGACGUUUGCAAAUUAUAAGC